This 732-nucleotide ribosomal RNA is filed under the name uncultured bacterium. RNAcentral's name for it is "bacterial SSU rRNA". It matches the Rfam family "Bacterial small subunit ribosomal RNA", at positions 28 to 776 of the family's 1533-position model. The record is from RNAcentral.
GAUGAACGCUGACAGAAUGCUUAACACAUGCAAGUCUACUUGAAGCUAACUUCGGUUAGUGGAGGGUGGCGGACGGGUGAGUAACGCGUAAAGAACUUGCCUCACAGAUUGGGACAACAUUUGGAAACGAAUGCUAAUACCGGAUAUUAUGAUACUUCUGCAUGGAAGAAUCGUGAAAGCUAUAUGCGCUGUGAGAGAGCUUUGCGUCCCAUUAGCUAGUUGGAGAGGUAACGGCUCACCAAGGCGAUGAUGGGUAGCCGGCCUGAGAGGGUGAACGGCCACAAGGGGACUGAGACACGGCCCUUACUCCUACGGGAGGCAGCAGUGGGGAAUAUUGGACAAUGGACCAAAAGUCUGAUCCAGCAAUUCUGUGUGCACGAUGAAGUUUUUCGGAAUGUAAAGUGCUUUCAGUUGGGAAGAAGCAAGUGACGGUACCAACAGAAGAAGCGACGGCUAAAUACGUGCCAGCAGCCGCGGUAAUACGUAUGUCGCAAGCGUUAUCCGGAUUUAUUGGGCGUAAAGCGCGUCUAGGUGGUUAUAUAAGUCUGAUGUGAAAAUGCGGGGCUCAACUCCGUAUUGCGUUGGAAACUGUAUGACUAGAGUACUGGAGAGGUAAGCGGAACUACAAGUGUAGAGGUGAAAUUCGUAGAUAUUUGUAGGAAUGCCGAUGGGGAAGCCAGCUUACUGGACAGAUACUGACGCUAAAGCGCGAAAGCGUGGGUAGCAAACAGG